RNAcentral lists this long non-coding RNA (205 nucleotides) under Helianthus annuus (common sunflower). RNAcentral's name for it is "Archaeal large subunit ribosomal RNA". The stretch from base 1 to 165 matches the Rfam family "Bacterial large subunit ribosomal RNA", at positions 46 to 232 of the family's 2925-position model. The record is from RNAcentral. Lineage: Eukaryota; Viridiplantae; Streptophyta; Magnoliopsida; Asterales; Asteraceae.
ACGAGGAAGGGCUUAGUAAGCGACGAAAUGCUUCGGGGAGUUGAAAAUAAGCAUAGAUCCGGAGAUUCCCGAAUAGGUUAACCUUUCAAACUGCUGCUGAAUCCAUGGGCAGGCAAGAGACAACCUGGCGAACUGAAACAUCUUAGUAGCCAGAGGAAAAGAACUAGGGCCGACUAAAUUAGAACCCUAGUUUAACUGCCAAAUA